CCCUUAGAUGUCCUGGGCCGCACGCGUGCUACACUGAUGCAUACAGCGAGUACUCCCAGCUCCGAGAGGCUGCUGGUAAUCAGCAAUAUGCAUCGUGAUGGGGAUAGAUCUUUGGAAUUAUAGAUCUUGAACGAGGAAUUCCUAGUAAUCGCAGGUCAUCACCCUGCGUUGACUAAGUCCCUGCCCUUUGUACACACCGCCCGUCGCUCCUACCGAUUUCGAGUGAUCCGGUGAAUCAUUCGGACCGCGGCCCCUAGGCAUGCGGAAAGUCUAGUAAACCAUAUCGCUUAGAGGAAGGAGAAGUCGUAACA
RNAcentral lists this ribosomal RNA (311 nucleotides) under uncultured eukaryote. Its description in RNAcentral is "partial 18S ribosomal RNA". It matches the Rfam family "Eukaryotic small subunit ribosomal RNA", at positions 1470 to 1796 of the family's 1831-position model. The record is from RNAcentral.